This 322-nucleotide ribosomal RNA is filed under the name uncultured bacterium. RNAcentral's name for it is "bacterial SSU rRNA". It matches the Rfam family "Bacterial small subunit ribosomal RNA", at positions 355 to 692 of the family's 1533-position model. The record is from RNAcentral.
UGGGGAAUCUUGCACAAUGGGGCAACCGUAGCAUGCAGUGACGCCGCGUGAGCGAUGAAGCCCUUCGGGUGUGAAAGCAUCUUUCGUCAGGGAAGAUUAUGACGGUACCUGGAGAAGCAGCUGCGGCUAACUACGUGCCAGCAGCCGCGGUAAUACGUAGGCAGCGAGCGUUGUUCGGAGUUACUGGGCGUAAAGGGUGUGUAGGCGGUUCUUUAAGUUUGGUGUGAAAUCUCCCGGCUCAACCGGGAGGGUGCGCCGAAUACUGAGGGACUAGAGUACGGGAGAGGAAAGUGGAAUUCCUGGUGUAGCGGUGAAAUGCGUA